Molecule: non-coding RNA, 213 nt
Organism: Pelobates cultripes (western spadefoot toad)
Lineage: Eukaryota; Metazoa; Chordata; Amphibia; Anura; Pelobatidae
Source: the annotation of a GenBank genome assembly
GGGAAGAGGUUAAUGUGGCAAACCCUGCAACUAGAACUGAUCAUUCUGUGUGAAUGAAGGACUUUCACCAAGGGAAUAACUAACCGAAUGGACUUUCUUGUUAUAUUGCUGUUUUUAGGCGAAUGGCCGAAACUACCAAACGUGAGACCACCCCGGGAUGGUCGUGUGUUGCUAAUUAACGGACCGAUACAAUGUUGCGAGGGAAUUAAGUGC